AGGGCGCACGGUGGAUGCCUUGACACUAGGAGUCGAUGAAGGACGGGACUAACGCCGAUAUGCUUCGGGGAGCUGUAAGUAAGCUUUGAUCCGAAGAUUUCCGAAUGGGGAAACCCACCAUACGUAAUGGUAUGGUAUCCUUAUCUGAAUACAUAGGGUAAGGAAGACAGACCCAGGGAACUGAAACAUCUAAGUACCUGGAGGAAGAGAAAGCAAAUGCGAUUUCCUGAGUAGCGGCGAGCGAAACGGAACAUAGCCCAAACCAAGAGGCUUGCCUCUUGGGGUUGUAGGACAUUCUAUACGGAGUUACAAAGGAACGAGGUAGACGAAGCGACCUGGAAAGGUCCGUCGUAGAGGGUAACAACCCCGUAGUCGAAACUUCGUUCUCUCUUGAAUGUAUCCUGAGUACGGCGGAACACGUGAAAUUCCGUCGGAAUCUGGGAGGACCAUCUCCCAAGGCUAAAUACUCCCUAGUGAUCGAUAGUGAACCAGUACCGUGAGGGAAAGGUGAAAAGCACCCCGGAAGGGGAGUGAAAGAGAUCCUGAAACCGUGUGCCUACAAAUAGUCAGAGCCCGUUAACGGGUGAUGGCGUGCCUUUUGUAGAAUGAACCGGCGAGUUACGAUCCCGUGCGAGGUUAAGCUGAAGAGGCGGAGCCGCAGCGAAAGCGAGUCUGAAUAGGGCGUUUAGUACGUGGUCGUAGACCCGAAACCAGGUGAUCUACCCAUGUCCAGGGUGAAGUUCAGGUAACACUGAAUGGAGGCCCGAACCCACGCACGUUGAAAAGUGCGGGGAUGAGGUGUGGGUAGCGGAGAAAUUCCAAUCGAACCUGGAGAUAGCUGGUUCUCCCCGAAAUAGCUUUAGGGCUAGCCUUAAGUGUAAGAGUCUUGGAGGUAGAGCACUGAUUGGACUAGGGGUCCUCAUCGGAUUACCGAAUUCAGUCAAACUCCGAAUGCCAAUGACUUAUCCUUAGGAGUCAGACUGCGAGUGAUAAGAUCCGUAGUCAAAAGGGAAACAGCCCAGACCGCCAGCUAAGGUCCCAAAGUGUGUAUUAAGUGGAAAAGGAUGUGGAGUUGCUUAGACAACUAGGAUGUUGGCUUAGAAGCAGCCACCAUUUAAAGAGUGCGUAAUAGCUCACUAGUCGAGUGACUCUGCGCCGAAAAUGUACCGGGGCUAAAUACACCACCGAAGCUGCGGAUUGAUACCGAAUGGUAUCAGUGGUAGGGGAGCGUUCUAAGGACAGUGAAGUCAGACCGGAAGGACUGGUGGAGUGCUUAGAAGUGAGAAUGCCGGUAUGAGUAGCGAAAGACGGGUGAGAAUCCCGUCCACCGAAUGCCUAAGGUUUCCUGAGGAAGGCUCGUCCGCUCAGGGUUAGUCAGGACCUAAGCCGAGGCCGACAGGCGUAGGCGAUGGACAACAGGUUGAUAUUCCUGUACCACCUCUUUAUCGUUUGAGCAAUGGAGGGACGCAGAAGGAUAGAAGAAGCGUGCGAUUGGUUGUGCACGUCCAAGCAGUUAGGCUGAUAAGUAGGCAAAUCCGCUUAUCAUGAAGGCUGAGCUGUGAUGGGGAAGCUCCUUAUGGAGCGAAGUCUUUGAUUCCCCGCUGCCAAGAAAAGCUUCUAGCGAGAUAAAAGGUGCCUGUACCGCAAACCGACACAGGUAGGCGAGGAGAGAAUCCUAAGGUGUGCGAGAGAACUCUGGUUAAGGAACUCGGCAAAAUGACCCCGUAACUUCGGGAGAAGGGGUGCUUUCUUAACGGAAAGCCGCAGUGAAUAGGCCCAAGCGACUGUUUAGCAAAAACACAGCUCUCUGCGAAGCCGUAAGGCGAAGUAUAGGGGGUGACACCUGCCCGGUGCUGGAAGGUUAAGGAGAGGGGUUAGCGUAAGCGAAGCUCUGAACUGAAGCCCCAGUAAACGGCGGCCGUAACUAUAACGGUCCUAAGGUAGCGAAAUUCCUUGUCGGGUAAGUUCCGACCCGCACGAAAGGUGUAACGAUUUGGGCACUGUCUCAACCAGAGACUCGGUGAAAUUAUAGUACCUGUGAAGAUGCAGGUUACCCGCGACAGGACGGAAAGACCCCGUGGAGCUUUACUGUAGCCUGAUAUUGAAUUUUGGUACAGUUUGUACAGGAUAGGCGGGAGCCAUUGAAACCGGAGCGCUAGCUUCGGUGGAGGCGCUGGUGGGAUACCGCCCUGACUGUAUUGAAAUUCUAACCUACGGGUCUUAUCGACCCGGGAGACAGUGUCAGGUGGGCAGUUUGACUGGGGCGGUCGCCUCCUAAAGUGUAACGGAGGCGCCCAAAGGUUCCCUCAGAAUGGUUGGAAAUCAUUCGUAGAGUGCAAAGGCAUAAGGG
RNAcentral lists this ribosomal RNA (2350 nucleotides) under Bacillus cereus 172560W. RNAcentral describes it as "bacterial LSU rRNA". It matches the Rfam family "Bacterial large subunit ribosomal RNA", at positions 14 to 2365 of the family's 2925-position model. The record is from RNAcentral. Lineage: Bacteria; Bacillati; Bacillota; Bacilli; Caryophanales; Bacillaceae.